AGUGUGCUGUUGGAGUCCCACGUUUCUCAGUAAUACAUUAAUGACACUGAUUUUGUUUAAUUGAUGUCUGCAGGCCUUGAGAAAUGAAGAUAAGUUUUUUCCUUGUGUGAGACUCCAUGUGCAUACAGGAGGGAGAAGUCCUGGUCCUAAAGAUGAUAGGAUAUGAGAAGAUAAAGCAAUGGAAAAAGGCCCACUGUACCAUGAGAUCAACAAGAUUAGAUAUUUUUGUAACCUGCUCACCAGCAGAAUGUGAUAUUCUGGCUGAGACAAGAAGCUAAGAACAACUGACCUGCAAGAUUAAGGAAGAAGCUGUGAAAACAUGAAGAUACUGGAAGAGCUGAGCUGGACUUUUUGAUGGUUCUGCCUAAUAGGAAAGCCACAGGAAUAAUACAGCUGCCUCGGACUGAGAGGAGACCUGUGACCUGUUGGAGCCAUUGGAAAAAUUCCUGCUGAUUUCCAAG
RNAcentral lists this long non-coding RNA (461 nucleotides) under Phasianus colchicus (ring-necked pheasant). RNAcentral describes it as "lncRNA (ENSPCLG00000004811.1)". Lineage: Eukaryota; Metazoa; Chordata; Aves; Galliformes; Phasianidae. The record is from RNAcentral.